UAGGGAAUCUUCGGCAAUGGGGGCAACCCUGACCGAGCAACGCCGCGUGAGUGAAGAAGGUCUUCGGAUCGUAAAGCUCUGUUGUAAGAGAAGAACGUGUGUGAGAGUGGAAAGUUCACACAGUGACGGUAACUUACCAGAAAGGGACGGCUAACUACGUGCCAA
RNAcentral lists this ribosomal RNA (165 nucleotides) under uncultured bacterium. Its description in RNAcentral is "partial 16S rRNA". It matches the Rfam family "Bacterial small subunit ribosomal RNA", at positions 355 to 511 of the family's 1533-position model. The record is from RNAcentral.